RNAcentral lists this ribosomal RNA (860 nucleotides) under uncultured marine bacterium. Its description in RNAcentral is "bacterial SSU rRNA". It matches the Rfam family "Bacterial small subunit ribosomal RNA", at positions 8 to 916 of the family's 1533-position model. The record is from RNAcentral.
AGAGUUUGAUCCUGGCUCAGAGCGAACGCUGGCGGCAGGCCUAACACAUGCAAGUCGAGCGCUCUCUUCGGAGGGAGCGGCGGACGGGUGAGUAACGCGUGGGAACGUGCCCUUCUCUAUGGAAUAGCCACUGGAAACGGUGAGUAAUACCAUAUACGCCCUUCGGGGGAAAGAUUUAUCGGAGAAGGAUCGGCCCGCGUUAGAUUAGGUAGUUGGUGGGGUAAUGGCCUACCAAGCCUACGAUCUAUAGCUGGUUUUAGAGGAUGAUCAGCCACACUGGGACUGAGACACGGCCCAGACUCCUACGGGAGGCAGCAGUGGGGAAUCUUAGACAAUGGGCGCAAGCCUGAUCUAGCCAUGCCGCGUGAGUGAUGAAGGCCUUAGGGUCGUAAAGCUCUUUCGCCAGAGAUGAUAAUGACAGUAUCUGGUAAAGAAACCCCGGCUAACUCCGUGCCAGCAGCCGCGGUAAUACGGAGGGGGUUAGCGUUGUUCGGAAUUACUGGGCGUAAAGCGCACGUAGGCGGAUUAGAAAGUUAGGGGUGAAAUCCCGGGGCUCAACCUCGGAACUGCCUCUAAAACUCCUAGUCUAGAGUUCGAGAGAGGUGAGUGGAAUUCCAAGUGUAGAGGUGAAAUUCGUAGAUAUUUGGAGGAACACCAGUGGCGAAGGCGGCUCACUGGCUCGAUACUGACGCUGAGGUGCGAAAGUGUGGGGAGCAAACAGGAUUAGAUACCCUGGUAGUCCACACCGUAAACGAUGAAUGCCAGUCGUCGGGUAGUAUACUGCUCGGUGACACACCUAACGGAUUAAGCAUUCCGCCUGGGGAGUACGUCGCAAGAUUAAAACUCAAAGGAAUUGACGG